This is a long non-coding RNA of Pogona vitticeps (central bearded dragon), 1773 nucleotides long. Lineage: Eukaryota; Metazoa; Chordata; Lepidosauria; Squamata; Agamidae. The record is from Ensembl.
AACUGAGGCUGUCAAACCUGGGGCACAUCAUGAGAAGGCAACAUUCUCCAGAAAAGAAUAAUGGUGGAAAAGGAGAAACGUAACAGGAAAAGAGGAAGGCCGAAUAUGAGAUGCAUUGAUUCUAGAAAAGAAGUCACAGCCCAAAGUUUAAGAGUUGCACAUGGCAGCUUAGGACAGAACAUUUUGGAGGCCCUCCGUUAAUAAGAGUCGGACGCAACUUGACUUCACCUGACAACAUGUGAAGGAGGAUGGCAAUAUAGAGAAGAGGGUGAUCCUGUGCCUUUAACAGUUGUGCGGAAGAGGGAAUUUCAGCAGCUGUCAAGCAAACUGCAGCCGCGGGAUCCUCCCUUCUAACCAACUCUUAAAAGUACAGGAGCCCAGCUCCUCUUUUCCUACACGAUGCCAAACUAUCCUGCGCUGCAAUCUUUCGUCAGGGAUUCUGCUCUUCGUACCUAAACCUGAACCCAGGGCGCAUCCUGGCCAUGUAAACUCUCGGCCGGCUAAUGUUAAGAGCCGCUGCUGCUGCCCAUAGCUCCAGCCCCGACGUCUCCUGUCGCUGACCACACGCCUUUAUGAGGUAUGCUCUCCAAAGGGGGGGGGGAGCGAGAGUCAUUAUGGGCUGAAUCCUUAUUGGCCGUAGGAUCUGCUACAAGUGAGGGUUAUAGGCGAGCAAGGGGCCGGGCUGAGCCUGCCUUUGGGUCUGCGGCAGUGGAGGAGAGCUUACGUGUGCCCGAAAGCCACCCCGCCCCACAUCGGUGGGGUACACAGCUUUCGCCAGCAUGAGAGAUGACAGUAACGUGUUUGAGCCUCUUCUGGAUGAGGAAGACCUGAGCAGAUCCAAAUCUAUGAGAAAAGUAUUCGCAAAGGCUGUGAGAAAAGCUUCAUUCCAGGAGAAAUUGUGGGAAUUUCUGUCACAAAGCUCUGUAGCGUUAUGCCCCACCUUUCAGAAGAGCGUAGGUUAUGGUGUGCCCUGUGUCACCCAUAAGCCCUCUAUGACUGAGACUGAUAGGCCUUGGGUUAAAAGAAAAAUGGUGAUUUUGGUUAUCAGUUUAUCUGUGCUACUUGAACUUAUAUUUUUGUGCAUUCUGCUGUGUUUCUCAUACAAUCCUUCCACUGGGCCCCAAGAUCUACCCAAAGAGGAUGGGAUCAAAGCCAGGAAGAACAUGACAGCUGCCGUCUCAGUUGUGCCAGAAAAUCUCACCCUUGCAACUCUCUUGGCAGCUGAAACGGAAGAACCACAGGGGGGAGCCAUGAGGAACUGCUUGGAGAAAGCUGUUCAGGAGUUCUCUGAGGAGCCAAGCAUUGUGAAGAAGAACACCAGGAUGAUCCUGCAGUGUAACGGAACAAAGCGGGAGUUCCUGUCUGGAAAAGGGGGAAACCUCAUUGAAGUGGUCUGGAUCAAUGAGAAGGUGUCUUAUACAUUGGUUCAUGAAGCCCAUCCAGAUGUCUAUCUGGCAAGGCUUGGACGUCAUCCUUUGCCACUCAACAUCAGCAGCAUCCAGAGUGUCUUACAAGAUGUGGCUUCCCACAACGGCUCAGAAGAGCUACGGAGUUGCCUCAGGAAGGCCUUAGCAGAAUUGCCCUGGGAACCAGUAAUUGUGCAGGACAAUGCCAAAAUGGUGGUGUCUUGCGGAGGGACGAAUCUCGCCUUCAUCUCUGACAUAUAAAGAUCUUCUUCAAAAGUUUCUGUUGUUAAGUUAUAUAUUUAACCUCAUCUUCAACUUGGAACCAUUCCCCCCCCCCCAUUCUGGAAUAAAUUCAAACAAGGGGCCA